RNAcentral lists this ribosomal RNA (260 nucleotides) under uncultured bacterium. Its description in RNAcentral is "partial 16S ribosomal RNA". It matches the Rfam family "Bacterial small subunit ribosomal RNA", at positions 99 to 354 of the family's 1533-position model. The record is from RNAcentral.
CGAACGGGUGAGUAACACGUGGGCAACCUGCCCAAAGAGGGGAGUAACACUUGGAAACAGGUGCUAAUACCGCAUAACCAUAGUUACCGCAUGGUAGCUAUGUAAAAGGUGGCUAUGCUACCGCUUUUGGAUGGGCCCGCGGCGCAUUAGCUAGUUGGUGGGGUAAAGGCUUACCAAGGCAAUGAUGCGUAGCCGAACUGAGAGGUUGAUCGGCCACAUUGGGACUGAGACACGGCCCAAACUCCUACGGGAGGCAGCAG